Molecule: small RNA, 113 nt
Filed under: Drosophila simulans
Lineage: Eukaryota; Metazoa; Arthropoda; Insecta; Diptera; Drosophilidae
Description: partial mlncRNA69E2-1b
Source: RNAcentral
ACAGCCCUUAGAUGACGAUGGUAUAUGGUUUGAAUGCAAUGUGCCCUUUCGAGUAAAUAUUCCCUUUCCUAUUAGCAUGAAGAAUCUAUUUGGUUCGCAGUUGUUUCAAGGCA